AUACUUAUCCUGUCAGGGAGUUACCUUGAUCAAGAGAGGAUAGUAUAACACUGUGAUCUUGGAUGGGGGGCAUUCCCAGGGUGAGGUUUAUCCAUUACAUUUUGGUUAUGAUGACCCUGAGAUUUACACAAAUGUGGGAUACCUUUGUACAUCAUUGUGGCAAUGGAGAAACUACAGGUAUGCUUUC
RNAcentral lists this small nuclear RNA (187 nucleotides) under Microtus ochrogaster (prairie vole). RNAcentral describes it as "U1 spliceosomal RNA (ENSMOCG00000006545.1)". It matches the Rfam family "U1 spliceosomal RNA". From Rfam's summary of the family: U1 is a small nuclear RNA (snRNA) component of the spliceosome (involved in pre-mRNA splicing). Lineage: Eukaryota; Metazoa; Chordata; Mammalia; Rodentia; Cricetidae. The record is from RNAcentral.